This 72-nucleotide transfer RNA is filed under the name Dallia pectoralis (Alaska blackfish). RNAcentral's name for it is "tRNA-OTHER". The record is from RNAcentral. Lineage: Eukaryota; Metazoa; Chordata; Actinopteri; Esociformes; Umbridae.
GUUGGUGUAGCUCUGUGGUAGAGUGCAUGCUUUGUGUGUGUAAUGUUCUGGGUUCAAUCCCUAGCUUCUCCC